This 343-nucleotide unclassified non-coding RNA is filed under the name soil metagenome. RNAcentral describes it as "partial contains 5.8S ribosomal RNA, internal transcribed spacer 2, and large subunit ribosomal RNA". The stretch from base 1 to 120 matches the Rfam family "5.8S ribosomal RNA", at positions 35 to 154 of the family's 154-position model. The record is from RNAcentral.
GAUGAAGAACGCAGCGAAAUGCGAUAAGUAAUGUGAAUUGCAGAAUUCAGUGAAUCAUCGAAUCUUUGAACGCACAUUGCGCCCACUAGUAUUCUGGCGGGCAUGCCUGUCCGAGCGUCAUUUCAACCCUCAAGCCCCCGGGCUUGGUGUUGGGGAUCGGCGAGCCUCCGCGCCCGCCGUCCCCUAAAUCUAGUGGCGGUCUCGCUGUAGCUUCCUCUGCGUAGUAGCACACCUCGCACUGGGAAACAGCGCGGCCACGCCGUUAAACCCCCAACUUCUGAACGUUUGACCUCGGAUCAGGUAGGAAUACCCGCUGAACUUAAGCAUAUCAAUAAGCGGAGGA